CGAGGACGAACGCUGGCGGUGUGCUUCACACAUGCAAGUCGAACGAGGUAGCAAUACCUAGUGGCGGAGGGUGAGUAACGCGUGGGAAUCUGCCUUUAGAUGGGGGAUAACGGGUCGAAAGACUCGCUAAUACCGCAUAUGACGAAAGUUGAAAGGAGUAAUCCGUCUAAAGAUGAGCCCGCGUCCGAUUAGCUAGUUGGUAGAGUAAAAGCCUACCAAGGCGACGAUCGGUAGCUGGUCUGAGAGGAUGAUCAGCCACAAUGGGACUGAGACACGGCCCAUACUCCUACGGGAGGCAGCAGUGGGGAAUUUUACGCAAUGGGCGAAAGCCUGACGUAGCGACACCGCGUGAGCGAAGAAGCCCCUUGGGGUGUAAAGCUCUGUCAGCUGGAACGAAAAAAAUGACGGUACCAGCAGAGGAAGCAUCGGCUAACUACGUG
This 440-nucleotide ribosomal RNA is filed under the name uncultured bacterium. RNAcentral's name for it is "bacterial SSU rRNA". It matches the Rfam family "Bacterial small subunit ribosomal RNA", at positions 26 to 507 of the family's 1533-position model. The record is from RNAcentral.